This 264-nucleotide ribosomal RNA is filed under the name uncultured bacterium. RNAcentral describes it as "partial 16S ribosomal RNA". It matches the Rfam family "Bacterial small subunit ribosomal RNA", at positions 793 to 1055 of the family's 1533-position model. The record is from RNAcentral.
GUCCACGCCGUAAACGAUGAUAACUAGAUGUUGGGGGAGUUGACCCCCUCAGUAUCGCAGCUCACGCAUUAAGUUAUCCGCCUGGGGAGUACGGCCGCAAGGCUAAAACUCAAAGGAAUUGACGGGGGCCCGCACAAGCGGUGGAGUAUGUGGUUUAAUUCGACGCAACGCGAAGAACCUUACCUUGGUUUGACAUCCUCUGAAUACGGUAGAGAUAUCGUCGGCUCGCAAGAGACAGAGAGACAGGUGCUGCAUGGCUGUCGU